GGAUGAAGAGUUCUGUGACUGAGCGGCGGACGGAUGAGUAACGCGUGGGUAACCUGCCUCAUACAGGGGGAUAACAGUUAGAAAUGGCUGCUAAUACCGCAUAAGACCACAGCACCGCAUGGUGCAGGGGUAAAAACUCCGGUGGUAUGAGAUGGACCCGCGUCUGAUUAGCUAGUUGGUGGGGUAACGGCCUACCAAGGCGACGAUCAGUAGCCGACCUGAGAGGGUGACCGGCCACAUUGGGACUGAGACACGGCCCAAACUCCUACGGGAGGCAGCAGUGGGGAAUAUUGCACAAUGGGGGAAACCCUGAUGCAGCGACGCCGCGUGAGCGAAGAAGUAUUUCGGUAUGUAAAGCUCUAUCAGCAGGGAAGAAAAUGACGGUACCUGACUAAGAAGCCCCGGCUAACUACGUGCCAGCAGCCGCGGUAAUACGUAGGGGGCAAGCGUUAUCCGGAUUUACUGGGUGUAAAGGGAGCGUAGACGGCGAGGCAAGUCUGAUGCGAAAACCCGGGGCUCAACCCCGUGACUGCAUUGGAAACUGUUUUGCUUGAGUGCCGGAGAGGUAAGCGGAAUUCCUAGUGUAGCGGUGAAAUGCGUAGAUAUUAGGAGGAACACCAGUGGCGAAGGCGGCUUACUGGACGG
This 645-nucleotide ribosomal RNA is filed under the name uncultured Lachnospiraceae bacterium. RNAcentral's name for it is "bacterial SSU rRNA". It matches the Rfam family "Bacterial small subunit ribosomal RNA", at positions 69 to 736 of the family's 1533-position model. Lineage: Bacteria; Bacillati; Bacillota; Clostridia; Lachnospirales; Lachnospiraceae. The record is from RNAcentral.